Molecule: ribosomal RNA, 184 nt
Filed under: uncultured bacterium
Lineage: Bacteria
Description: partial 16S ribosomal RNA
Rfam family: Bacterial small subunit ribosomal RNA
Source: RNAcentral
CCUUCAUGAAGCCGGAAUUGCUAGUAAUGGCAGGUCAGCAUACUGCCGUGAAUACGUUCCCGGGCCUUGUACACACCGCCCGUCACACCAUGAGAGUUGGAGAUACCCGAAGCCUGUGAGCUAACAAACGAGGCAGCAGUCGAAGGUAGAAUCAAUGAUUGGGGUGAAGUCGUAACAAGGUAUC